RNAcentral lists this ribosomal RNA (207 nucleotides) under uncultured bacterium. Its description in RNAcentral is "partial 16S ribosomal RNA". It matches the Rfam family "Bacterial small subunit ribosomal RNA", at positions 568 to 774 of the family's 1533-position model. The record is from RNAcentral.
AGCGCAGGCGGGACAGCAAGUUGGAUGUGAAAUACCGAGGCUUAACCUCGGGGCUGCAUCCAAAACUGUUGUUCUUGAGUGAAGUAGAGGUUGGCGGAAUUCCGAGUGUAGCGGUGAAAUGCGUAGAUAUUCGGAGGAACACCAGUGGCGAAGGCGGCCAACUGGGCUUUAACUGACGCUGAGGCUCGAAAGCAUGGGGAGCAAACA